CCUGGUGACAAUAGCGAAGGGGUCACACCCGUUCCCAUCCCGAACACGGCAGUUAAGCCCUUCAGCGCAGAUGGUACUUGGCCACGAGGCCUGGGAGAGUAUGUCGUUGCCAGGA
Molecule: ribosomal RNA, 115 nt
Filed under: Thermanaerosceptrum fracticalcis
Lineage: Bacteria; Bacillati; Bacillota; Clostridia; Eubacteriales; Peptococcaceae
Also listed under: 1 other name
Source: RNAcentral